ACUCCUACGGGAGGCAGCAGUCGAGAAUUUUUCUCAAUGGGGGAAACCCUGAAGGAGCGACGCCGCGUGGAGGAUGAAGGCUUUCGGGUUGUAAACUCCUGUCAUUUGGGAACAAGUUUGCGCGGUUAACUGCCGCGUAAUUGAUAGUACCAGAAGAGGAAGAGACGGCUAACUCUGUGCCAGCAGCCGCGGUAAU
RNAcentral lists this ribosomal RNA (196 nucleotides) under uncultured soil bacterium. Its description in RNAcentral is "partial 16S ribosomal RNA". It matches the Rfam family "Bacterial small subunit ribosomal RNA", at positions 335 to 524 of the family's 1533-position model. The record is from RNAcentral.